Molecule: ribosomal RNA, 453 nt
Filed under: Zhangixalus dulitensis
Lineage: Eukaryota; Metazoa; Chordata; Amphibia; Anura; Rhacophoridae
Description: Rhacophorus dulitensis partial 12S rRNA
Rfam family: Bacterial small subunit ribosomal RNA
Source: RNAcentral
ACUACGAGCCUUAGCUUAAAACCCAAAGGACUUGACGGUGUCCCACCCAACUAGAGGAGCCUGUUCUAUAAUCGAUAAUCCACGAUAUACCAAACCAUUUUUUGUUAUUCAGCCUGUAUACCUCCGUCGCAAGCUUACCGUAUGAGCGAAUAUCAGUAGGCUCAAUGGUCAAAACACCAAAACGUCAGGUCAAGGUGCAGCUCAUGAAAUGGAAGAAAUGGGCUACAAUUUCUAAACUAGAACAAACGAAAUACUACAUGAAAUAUAGUCAUGAAGGCGGAUUUAGCAGUAAGUAGAAAACAGAGAGUUCUACUAAAUAUGGCCCUGGGACGUGUACAAACCGCCCGUCACCCUCUUCGAUAGUCUACAAUAUAGUUAUAUAACCCAAUCUAUACGCCUUAGAAGAGGCAAGUCGUACCAUGGUAAGUAUACUGGAAAGUGUACUUGGAAUAA